This 1082-nucleotide long non-coding RNA is filed under the name Marmota monax (woodchuck). The record is from RNAcentral. Lineage: Eukaryota; Metazoa; Chordata; Mammalia; Rodentia; Sciuridae.
GGUUUCACUUCUGUGUUUCUCAAACUGGGAGCUCAGGGGUUCCCAGCAUCACAGUAGCUUGUUGAGGUCGGAGAUUUCAGGGACUGCAUAUCAACCAGACCCCAAGGGUUGGGUCUUCGCAGCAUGCAUGGUGGAUUCCUCUUCCUACUGAAAAUUGAGAACCAUCCAGUUAGUAGAGGAACAGACUCCACCAAAGGACCAAAGGCAUGUCUUUUCCAACUCACUUGGUAAAAUUCUCCCAGAGGAGAAAACCAAUAUAACUCCUUUUCCUGGAAAACUGAGCAGUGUCUGUAAGGAGGUUGGCAUUCGCUGAAGUUGGUAGACCCCAAUCUGCAGUACCAUAUUCCCAGUGGGCAGGAUGGUGCCUGUGCCAGGAAGAUCACUAGGCAGUGGCUGCUUCACUGUCUCAUCAGUAACAGAGUUAGCAUCAGCCUCACCCUUUGUAUUCUGUAACUCGUGUAUGAUUUAAAAGUGUAUUGGUAUUUUACUUUUCACCACCUAGAAUCCACAUAAUUCUGUGGUUGAUCCACUGUGCUGGAAAAAAGAAAACAAAACAACUCCGAAACCUGCAUCUAGCUAUCUAUGUAAGAAAAAGUGAUUCUUAGCAGUGGAUUCUCUCAUGCCCUGACUUCAGUUGAAAUGAUUAAUAUGUAUAGCUUUGAAGAACAUUCGUGAGGAGAUUUUUUUUUUCUGGUAAUGUGGUAGAUAGGGCUUUCAUCAUUUUAGCAUACAGUUCUACUAUUCCAUGAUCCUAAGACUUGAGGUUUGUAAUUAAGAUCUUCACCUUGUAUUUAAAAUGAUUUAUGAAAAAUAUUAAUUUUUGUUUGAAGUCUUUUUUUAGACACUUUGUUUUAAUUUGAACAGUUAUCUUUGAAAAAGGGUGCAAUUCAGUGCUUCCUUUUAUAAUCUCUGGGGAGAAUUACUAAUAUUAUUUUAUAGGCGCUAACAGGAGCAAAACGUCUAGAAUUAACUGCAUGUGGAUUAAGUGUCAAGAAGCACAUUACAUGUUUCUACUACAAUUUACAAAAUGUACUAAUAUUCAGGGGCCCAAAAGAGAAAAGGCCAAGGAAAGUAGAUGAUUG